AGAGUUUGAUCCUGGCUCAGGACGAACGCUGGCGGCGUGCCUAAUACAUGCAAGUCGAGCGGAGGUAUAUCGUAUGAACGGAUUUAUCUGGAAGUGAUAUACUUUAGCGGCGGACGGGUGAGUAACGCGUGAGCAAUCUGGCCUAUACAGGGGGAUAACACAGGGAAACUUGUACUAAUACCGCAUAAUCUCCUUUGGUCGCAUGACCGAGGGAAGAAAGUGGCAACACGGUAAAGGGGGAGCUCGCGUUCUAUUAGAUAGUUGGUGAGGUAACGGCUCACCAAGUCAACGAUAGAUAGCCGACCUAAGAGGGUGAUCGGCCACACUGGAACUGAGACACGGUCCAGACUUCUACGGAAGGCAGCAGUAGGGAAUAUUGGGCAAUGGAGGGAACUCUGACCCAGCAACGCCGCGUGAAGGAAGAAGGUUUUCGGAUUGUAAACUUCUAUCCUUGGUGAAGAGAAGGACGGUAGCCAAGAAGGAAGCCCCGGCUAACUACGUGCCAGCAGCCGCGGUAAUACGUAGGGGGCAAGCGUUGUCCGGAAUGAUUGGGCGUAAAGGGCUCGUAGGUGGCAUGUCAAGUCUGAAGUGAAAGUCCUACUUUCAAGGUGGGAAUUGCUUUGGAAACUGGCAAGCUUGAGUAUAGGAGAGGUUAGUGGAAUUCCUAGUGUAGCGGUGAAAUGCGUAGAGAUUAGGAGGAACAUCAGUGGCGAAGGCGACUAACUGGACUAAAACUGACACUGAGGAGCGAAAGUGUGGGUAGCAAACAGGAUUAGAUACCCUGGUAGUCCACACUGUAAACGAUGAAUGCUAGGUGUAGGAGGUAUCGACCCCUUCUGUGCCGCAGUAAACACAGUAAGCAUUCCGCCUGGGGAGUACGGCCGCAAGGUUAAAACUCAAAGAAAUUGACGGGGGCCCGCACAAGCAGCGGAGCAUGUGGUUUAAUUCGAAGCAACGCGAAGAACCUUACCAGGUCUUGACAUCUGAUAAAAGCAUAGGAGACUAUGUGUGAGCUUGCUCAUAUCAAGACAGGUGGUGCAUGGUUGUCGUCAGCUCGUGUCGUGAGAUGUUGGGUUAAGUCCCGCAACGAGCGCAACCCUAUUUACUAGUUACUAACAGGAUAGCUGAGGACUCUAGUGAGACUGCCGGGGACAACUCGGAGGAAGGUGGGGACGACGUCAAAUCAUCAUGCCCCUUAUGACCUGGGCUACACACGUGCUACAAUGGCCACUACAGAGAGAAGCGAGGGAGUGAUCCGGAGCGAAUCUCAAAAAAGUGGUCACAGUUCGGAUUGUAGGCUGCAACCCGCCUACAUGAAGCCGGAGUUGCUAGUAAUCGCGGAUCAGCAUGCCGCGGUGAAUACGUUCCCGGGCCUUGUACACACCGCCCGUCACACCAUGGGAGUUGAGAGCACCCGAAGCCGGUGAGGUAACAGAAAUGGACCAGCCGUCGAAGGUGAGAUCAAUGACUGGGGUGAAGUCGUAACAAGGUAGCCGUAUCGGAAGGUGCGGCUGGAUCACCUCCUU
RNAcentral lists this ribosomal RNA (1526 nucleotides) under uncultured bacterium. RNAcentral's name for it is "bacterial SSU rRNA". It matches the Rfam family "Bacterial small subunit ribosomal RNA". The record is from RNAcentral.